AGCAGCCGCGGUAAUUCCAGCUCCAAUAGCGUAUAUUAAAGUUGUUGCAGUUAAAAGCUCGUAGUUGAAUUUCGGGAUCAGUUGAUCGGUCGUGCCUCGGUACGUACUGGUCAAAUUGAUUCCUACCUUCUGACGAACCACGAUGUCAUUAAUUUGGUGUCGCGGGAAAUCAGGACUGUUACUUUGAAAAAAUUAGAGUGUUUAAAGCAGGCUCGCGCUUGAAUACAUUAGCAUGGAAUAAUGAAAUAGGACGUUUGAUUCUAUUUUGUUGGUUUCUAGGAUCGACGUAAUGAUUAAUAGGGAUAGUUGGGGGCAUUAGUAUUCAAUUGUCAGAGGUGAAAUUCUUGGAUUUAUUGAAGACUAACUACUGCGAAAGCAUUUGCCAAGGAUGUUUUCAUUAAUCAAGAACGAAAGUUAGGGGAUCGAAGACGAUCAGAUACCGUCGUAGUCUUAACCAUAAACUAUGCCGACUAGGGAUCGGAUGAUGUUAAUUUUUUAAUGACUCAUUCGGCGCCUUACG
This 520-nucleotide unclassified non-coding RNA is filed under the name uncultured Glomus. Its description in RNAcentral is "SSU rRNA". It matches the Rfam family "Eukaryotic small subunit ribosomal RNA", at positions 569 to 1092 of the family's 1831-position model. Lineage: Eukaryota; Fungi; Glomeromycota; Glomeromycetes; Glomerales; Glomeraceae. The record is from RNAcentral.